Molecule: long non-coding RNA, 1324 nt
Filed under: Sus scrofa (pig)
Lineage: Eukaryota; Metazoa; Chordata; Mammalia; Artiodactyla; Suidae
Description: lncRNA (ENSSSCG00055014747.1)
Source: RNAcentral
AUGUCCCCGUCCAUGUUCUCCACGAGGAGCUUCUGGUCUCCUCCUCCGAGGAAAGUGACCCCCAUGGCAGCGAAGACGCAGCCCCCAGACUAUCAUGUCUUGGACAUGACUACCGGAGUAAAAGAAAAAAUAACACAGCAGAGUUUGUCUCAUCAAUUCACACUCCCCCAGCCACACCUGCAGCAUAUAGAAACUCCUGGGUCACCACGAAGACCUUCCUUGUGCCAUUCCUUUACAGUCAUACCCACCCUGUUCCUCUCCAGCACCCCUAUCUGCAGACAACCACUGAAUGUUUUCUAUCUCCAUCAUUUUGUCAUUUCAUAAAUGUUAUGGAAAUAGAAUCACACAGAACAGGAUUUUAUUUUUUGUCUUUUUGCCUUUUCUAGGGCCAUUCCCAAGGCAUAUGGAGGUUCCCAAGCUAGGGGUCUAAUUGGAGCUGUAGCCACCAGCCUAUGCCAGAGUCACAGCAACACGGGAUCCGAGCCACGUCUGCAACCUACACCACAGCUCACGGCAACGCCGGAUCCUUAACCCACGGAGCAAGGCCAGGGAUCAAACCCGCAACCUCGUGGUUCCUAGUUGGAUUCGUUAACCACUGAGUCACGACGGGAUCUCCAGAACAUGAUCUUUGAGAUCGGCUUUUUUCGCUCAGAGUCAUAACCUCAAGAUCCAUUCAAGUUGCUGCACAUACCAAAGUUUUUUUUUCAGUGCUGCAAACUACUACAUGGUAUGUAUUUAACCUACAUAUAUCAUUAUAUUUGAACUGUCUCAAGCUUUGUAGAUAACAUAUAGUCAGGUCACGUUUUUUAUAGACUGAAUCUCUAUUAAUCGGUAUACUUAGACAAGUUGUUUUUAAUAUAACACUGAUAUGUUAAGGCUAAGUCCAUUUUAUUUUUUUUAUUUUCUGCUGUUACAUUUUUCAUUUCUCUAUUUUUCCUGCCAUGCCUUUUUCACAGAAUUCCAUUUUGAUGCGUAUUUUUGUAUACUCCUUUUGGUGGUGGCUCUAGGUAGUAUAUAGUUUAGUGUGGAAGAUUUGAUCAUUGAAUUUUCACCUUUCUUCUUUUCUAAGUAUUGAAAGUUAUAAAUUUCUCUACAUUCUGUUUUCACUGUUUCCCACAAUUUUUUAUACAUAUUGAGCUUUCCUAUUUAUUCAGUUCAAACUUUUGCCAUUGGUCAUGUAAUUUCCAACUAUUUGUGAAUUGAUUACAUAGUUUAGUUGGUUUUCAAUUAAUUCUUUCGUGGUCAGAGAACAUACUUCGUAUGAUCUUAAUCUUGAGUUUUAUUGAAACUUGUUUUAGAGCCCAGCAUGCAUUCUAUCUUGAUA